ACCAAGCUGGUUCAGUCGGUAGAGCAUGUGACUCUUGAUCUCAGGGUUGUAAGUUCGAGGCCCACGCUGGGUG
Molecule: transfer RNA, 73 nt
Filed under: Felis catus (domestic cat)
Lineage: Eukaryota; Metazoa; Chordata; Mammalia; Carnivora; Felidae
Rfam family: tRNA
About the family: Transfer RNA (tRNA) molecules are approximately 80 nucleotides in length. Their secondary structure includes four short double-helical elements and three loops (D, anti-codon, and T loops). Further hydrogen bonds mediate the characteristic L-shaped molecular structure. tRNAs have two regions of fundamental functional importance: the anti-codon, which is responsible for specific mRNA codon recognition, and the 3' end, to which the tRNAs corresponding amino acid is attached (by aminoacyl-tRNA synthetases). tRNAs cope with the degeneracy of the genetic code in two manners: having more than one tRNA (with a specific anti-codon) for a particular amino acid; and 'wobble' base-pairing, i.e. permitting non-standard base-pairing at the 3rd anti-codon position.
Source: Rfam by way of RNAcentral